This 384-nucleotide long non-coding RNA is filed under the name Lathyrus oleraceus (garden pea). RNAcentral's name for it is "Pisum sativum (pea) long non-coding RNA (PSAT_LNC014286)". The record is from RNAcentral. Lineage: Eukaryota; Viridiplantae; Streptophyta; Magnoliopsida; Fabales; Fabaceae.
AAAAACAUUAAAAAUUUACUAAAAAUAAAUAAUAGACUACUAUAGAAUUUUUACCAAUUCUCUACUCAUUCGUCCCUCACACCAUUCACAUUUCCAUCAUCUUUUAUUUUUACCAUAAAUAAUAUACCCUUAAAAUAGAAAAGAAAAAACAAAAUUAUAAAAUAAAACAAAAAAUUAAUUUAAUAAAAAAAAAACUACUAGAACCUUCAAUUUUAUCAUACACAACAUUUUUCAUAAAAAUUUAAUAGAAUAUCUAACACAUUUCUCAUCAACUUCAGUCACUUACACAUAAAUUUCUCCCCUCAUUUCUUUAAGGUACAUUAACUGCAUGCUUUUCAUGUUUUAUAUAUUCUUUGAUAAAUUUCUUAACCAUUUUUAUAUCCA